This 441-nucleotide ribosomal RNA is filed under the name uncultured bacterium. Its description in RNAcentral is "partial 16S ribosomal RNA". It matches the Rfam family "Bacterial small subunit ribosomal RNA", at positions 338 to 795 of the family's 1533-position model. The record is from RNAcentral.
CCUACGGGUGGCAGCAGUGGGGAAUAUUGCACAAUGGGGGAAACCCUGAUGCAGCGACGCCGCGUGGGUGACGAAGCAUUUCGGCACGUAAAGCCCUGUCAGCAGGGAAGAAAGAUGCCGGUAUCUGACUAAGAAGCCCCGGCUAAAUACUGGCCAGAAGCCGCGGUAAUACGUAGGGUGCAAGCGUUAUCCGGAUUUACUGGGUGUAAAGGGGGCGCAGGCGGCACUCCAAGCCUGGGGUGAAAGCCCGGGGCCCAACCCCGGGACUGCAUUUGGAACUGGGGAGCUGGAGUGCAGGAGGGGCAGGCGGAAUUCCUGGUGUAGCGGUGAAAUGCGUAGAUAUUAGGAGGAACACCAGUGGCGAAGGCGGCCUGCUGGACUGAGACUGACGCUGAGGCUCGAAAGCGUGGGGAGCAAACAGGAUUAGAUACCCCGGUAGUC